UGCCCAGACUCCUACGGGAGGCAGCAGUGGGGAAUAUUGGACAAUGGGGGGAACCCUGAUCCAGCGACGCCGCGUGAGUGAAGAAGUAUUUCGGUAUGUAAAGCCCUAUCGGCAGGGAAGAAGCAAGACGGUACCUGACUAAGAAGCCCCGGCUAACUACGUGCCAGCAGCCGCGGUAAUACGUAGGGGGCGAGCGUUAUCCGGAUUCACUGGGUGUAAAGGGAGCGUAGACGGCCAAGCAAGCCAGGGGUGAAAGCCCGGGGCCCAACCCCGGGACUGCCCUUGGAACUGCUUGGCUGGAGUGCGGGAGGGGCAGGCGGAAUUCCUGGUGUAGCGGUGAAAUGCGUAGAUAUCAGGAGGAACACCGGCGGCGAAGGCGGCCUGCUGGACCGCUACUGACGUUGAGGCUCGAAAGCGUGGGGAGCGAACAGGAUUAGAUACCCGAGUAC
Molecule: ribosomal RNA, 449 nt
Filed under: uncultured bacterium
Lineage: Bacteria
Description: bacterial SSU rRNA
Rfam family: Bacterial small subunit ribosomal RNA
Source: RNAcentral